CGAAGGCGGGGGUAGGGGUGAGGGACGGACCCCAGGACACCCCUCUUUCCCUCCCCCCCUUUCCCUUUCCCCGGCCACCACCUCUCCAGCCGCCGCUCCCUCUUCUUCCCUUCCAGCCAGCACAAUGGGGGCUCGAGGCCCGGGCGGCCCCUCGGAACCGUUUUCUGGUUAAGAAGCGAAGGGUAUCUAACUGCUACACCCUGCAAACACACUCGGAAGGGAAAGGUAACCUGCGGCGAGGCGCGGCUGCCAGCGGCACGCACUGGAGCCUGGUUGGACGCACCGGCCCCUACAGGUGAUUCCGCAAAGGCCAGGUUGACCCCAGAGCGGCCCAAAUUCCUGUCUCUCCCUCCUUCCUCCUCACUUCUGAUUUCAACUUGGAAUUCGUUUUUUUGUUUUGUUUUGUUUUGUUUUGUUUUGUUUUGUUUUGUUUUUCUUAACAAGGACUCAAGUUAAGUCCUCCUGGGGAGCGCUGUAGGCAAAAGCAGAGUUGCGAAGGAGAGGCGGGGUUGUGCUCUUUACUCCUCUUUGCAAGCUUUUCUCAGAGGGGUUGUAAUCAGGAGCGCGCUGGAUCCCAAGCCACGCGGUUUUUCCCGGAGUGGCGGGUGAGCGUCAGUAAUAGGCAGGAGAGGAGCUCCCAACAACUGAGGACCCACGACCCUGACAUUUGUUUUCUCAGGGUCCCUGAUAGCGGCAGAGAAAGUGCAGUUCCCUCUGGACCGCAAGGUGCCUGGGCCCCUGCCCCACACUGGCCUGGGCAGGGAAGUGAGUGCCACUUUCUUUCUUCUCAGGGUCAGUGCCGUGGGCUGGUGGGCUGCAGCGCUAUGGGAAGUGGAGACCUUUUCUCCCACCUGUGCUCCUUAGCUCUCCAGGCCGUGGGUUGCUGUUUGGUCCCCUCGCUCACUCCCCUGUCUGUGACCUGGGCACUGUUGGCAUGAGGCCCCUUGAGUCACCUACCUGUGGGGCUGGGGAUGAAUCUCCGUACUCUAAGGGGAAGGAACCCCAGGCCCAGACCGAGCUGGAAAAGGGGCCAGGGACCAGUGGUCCGUUUUGGGCUCAGCUUCGUGGCCACCUGAAAGCCAUUCAGCCCUCGAAGGCAGGAUGUCCAUCCUGGGCCUCAGUUUCCUUACUGUGAAGCGAGGAAAUGCGGCGGUAGGUAAUACCCACCUCAUGGUGCUGUCCUGCUGAUUUGGGAGCAGGUGUUGGGCUCUAACAGUCCAUAAACCUUGAUUUUUUACUGCAGUCAUUGUCUAGACGCAGGUAGCAAAGCCUUAGCAGCAAAGCUGUGACCCUGCCUCAUGCAGCGGUGGCUUUAGCCACCAUCCUGGCCUCUCUGCAGCUCAUGGACUGGUUGGGAAGCAGAGAUCUUAGACACCCUGGGGUAGCUUCCACACCUUGUAAUGUGUGUGGCCCAGGAAGCUCAGCUAACAUGAUAGGCAGAGGCAGUGAGGACUUUUACCCACUACCAAAGGCAUUCUUAUGUGCCCAGCCUCAGCUGUGGCCCAGUACCCCGGUGCCCAUCCCUUUGAUGCCUGCUACCACCCUAAGUGAAGAGGAGCCCUGUGCUGGCUGAUGCCCACCUGGGGCAUAGGCUGACUGGAGCCUGGCCAUGCCCAGGACCCUACUCUAUCAGGGCACAAGAAUCAACCCCCCCCCAUCCUGUGCAGUUACCACUGGGCACUAGGAAUCUUAAAAUUUUUAAGUGAACAAGGAAGGCGCCCUUCUCUCUCCGUUUGCCAGUCUUCUCCGUCUUUAUGACCAGUCCCCCACUGCUGUGCUCUCCUUCAGAGACCCUGUGCAGGGGACAGAGCCUUGAACACUAGCAAUGCAGGGGUGUGCAGUGGAAGCCCUUUCCCUGCACGAAGCCCGGUUCCUCUGUCCCGGGUGAGCGCCUGCCCGCCUGGAGUCGCAUUGAGAGGAUUCCACUACGCUGCCUCUAUUAUUAUACCGUAAAUCUCUUUAAAUUCUGGAACUAAUUACGUAGAGGAUAUGUCUCAAUUUGUUCUGCAUUGAUGCCGCAGCGGGGACGGGGGCCAGGCCAUGGCUGCUCAGAUACAUGGGCCCAUGAAAUUGAUGAACUGAGAGCUGCUUCCAGCCCUGCGCGCACCAUCUGGAAUUCCAGUCUGAGGUUACAAUUAGAACUCCUGACCCCAGAUUCAACUUUGCAAACAACAGAGAAAAUGGGGAAAAGGAAAAAAAAAGAGAGAGAGAAGAAAAGAAAAAAAUUUAUUCUGCACCUGUAAAAAAAAUCCACACACGAUCUUAAAAUCUGUCCAUCUUAGCAAAUUCUU
Cavia porcellus (domestic guinea pig) is the source of this 2291-nucleotide long non-coding RNA. RefSeq lists it as uncharacterized. The record is from RefSeq and is a predicted model, not a curated record. The transcript has 2 exons. Lineage: Eukaryota; Metazoa; Chordata; Mammalia; Rodentia; Caviidae.